RNAcentral lists this ribosomal RNA (468 nucleotides) under uncultured bacterium. RNAcentral describes it as "partial 16S ribosomal RNA". It matches the Rfam family "Bacterial small subunit ribosomal RNA", at positions 28 to 507 of the family's 1533-position model. The record is from RNAcentral.
GACGAACGCUGGCGGCGUGCUUAACACAUGCAAGUCGAACGGAAAGGCCCUGCUUUUGUGGGGUGCUCGAGUGGCGAACGGAUGAGUAACACGUGAGUAACCUGCCCUUGACUCUGGGAUAACUUCAGGAAACUGGGGCUAAUACCGGAUAGGAGCUCCUGCUGCUUGGUGGGGGUUGGAAAGUUUCGGCGGUUGGGGAUGGACUCGCGGCUUAUCAGCCUGUUGGUGGGGUAGUGGCUUACCAAGGCUUUGACGGGUAGCCGGCCUGAGAGGGUGACCGGCCACAUUGGGACUGAGAUGCGGCCCAGACUCCUACGGGAGGGAGCAGUGGGGAAUAUUGCACAAUGGGCGGAAGCCUGAUGCAGCAACGCCGCGUGCGGGAUGACGGCCUUCGGGUUGUAAACCGCUUUCGCCUGUGACGAAGCGUGAGUGACGGUAAUGGGUAAAGAAGCACCGGCUAACUACGUG